GAUGAACGCUGGCGGCGUGCUUAAUACAUGCAAGUCGAACGGAGAACCUUUGUAGCAAUACGGAGGUUUCUUAGUGGCGAACGGGUGCGUAACGCGUUGGUGACCUGCCCCGAAGUGUGGGAUAACAGUCCGAAAGGACUGCUAAUACCUCAUGUGGUCAUUGGGAUUAGAAUCUGAUGACUAAAGCAGUAAUGCGCUUCGGGAGGGGCCUGCGUCCCAUCAGCUAGUUGGUAGGGUAAUGGCCUACCAAGGCUACGACGGGUAGGGGACCUGAGAGGGUGGUCCCCCACACUGGCACUGAAACACGGGCCAGACACCUACGGGUGGCAGCAGUAGGGAAUAUUGGGCAAUGGGCGAAAGCCUGACCCAGCAACGCCGCGUGCAUGAUGAAGGUCUUCGGAUCGUAAAAUGCUUUUCUGAGAGAUGAGAA
RNAcentral lists this ribosomal RNA (430 nucleotides) under uncultured bacterium. RNAcentral describes it as "bacterial SSU rRNA". It matches the Rfam family "Bacterial small subunit ribosomal RNA", at positions 28 to 451 of the family's 1533-position model. The record is from RNAcentral.